CGGACGGGUGAGUAAUGUCUGGGAAACUGCCUGAUGGAGGGGGAUAACUACUGGAAACGGUAGCUAAUACCGCAUAACGUCGCAAGACCAAAGAGGGGGACCUUCGGGCCUCUUGCCAUCGGAUGUGCCCAGAUGGGAUUAGCUAGUAGGUGGGGUAAAGGCUCACCUAGGCGACGAUCCCUAGCUGGUCUGAGAGGAUGACCAGCCACACUGGAACUGAGACAGGUCCAG
Molecule: ribosomal RNA, 231 nt
Filed under: uncultured bacterium
Lineage: Bacteria
Description: partial 16S ribosomal RNA
Rfam family: Bacterial small subunit ribosomal RNA
Source: RNAcentral